CGCGCAGGUGGUUUCUUAAGUCUGAUGUGAAAGCCCACGGCUCAACCGUGGAGGGUCAUUGGAAACUGGGAGACUUGAGUGCAGAAGAGGAUAGUGGAAUUCCAAGUGUAGCGGUGAAAUGCGUAGAGAUUUGGAGGAACACCAGUGGCGAAGGCGACUUUCUGGUCUGUAACUGACGCUGAUGUGCGAAAGCGUGGGGAUCAAACA
Molecule: ribosomal RNA, 207 nt
Filed under: uncultured bacterium
Lineage: Bacteria
Description: partial 16S ribosomal RNA
Rfam family: Bacterial small subunit ribosomal RNA
Source: RNAcentral